GAACGAGAAAGUGGAGCAAUCCAUGAGUAAAGUGGCGACCGGGUGAGUAACACGUGACUAACCUACCCUCGAGUGUGGAAUAACAUCGGGAAACCGAUGCUAAUACCGCAUAACAUCGCAAGAUCAAAGCAGCAAUGCGCUUGGGGAGGGGGUCGCGGCUGAUUAGCUAGUUGGCGGGGUAACGGCCCACCAAGGCGAAGAUCGGUAUCCGGCCUGAGAGGGCGCACGGACACACUGGAACUGAAACACGGUCCAGACUCCUACGGGAGGCAGCAGUGGGGAAUUUUGCGCAAUGGGGGAAACCCUGACGCAGCAACGCCGCGUGGAGGAUGAAGCCCCUUGGGGCGUAAACUCCUUUCGACCAAGACGAUAAUGACGGUACUGGUGGAAGAAGCACCGGCUAACUCUGUGCCAGCAGCCGCGGUAAUACAGAGGGUGCGAGCGUUGUUCGGAAUUAUUGGGCGUAAAGGGCGCGUAGGCGGUGCCACAAGUCACUUGUGAAAUCCCCGGGCUUAACUCGGAGCCUGCAGGCGAAACUGUGGUGCUGGAGUAUGGGAGAGGUGCGUGGAAUUCCCGGUGUAGCGGUGAAAUGCGUAGAUAUCGAGAGGAACACCUGUGGCGAAAGCGGCGCACUGGACCAUAACUGACGCUGAGGCGCGGAAGCUAGGGGA
Molecule: ribosomal RNA, 671 nt
Filed under: uncultured forest soil bacterium
Lineage: Bacteria
Description: bacterial SSU rRNA
Rfam family: Bacterial small subunit ribosomal RNA
Source: RNAcentral